AAUGGGAUAACUGGGUCAAAUGGUGGUUCCAUUCCUAGCUUUUUUGCAAUCUCCAUACUGCUUUCCAAAGCUGCUGCACCAAUUUGCAGUCCCACCAGCAAU
Molecule: microRNA precursor, 102 nt
Filed under: Marmota monax (woodchuck)
Lineage: Eukaryota; Metazoa; Chordata; Mammalia; Rodentia; Sciuridae
Source: RNAcentral